Molecule: ribosomal RNA, 800 nt
Filed under: uncultured Pseudomonadota bacterium
Lineage: Bacteria; Pseudomonadati; Pseudomonadota
Description: bacterial SSU rRNA
Rfam family: Bacterial small subunit ribosomal RNA
Source: RNAcentral
CAAGUCGAACGCGAAAGAGACCUUCGGGUCUCAAGUAGAGUGGCGCCCGGGUGAGUAACACGUAGGUAAUCUACCAUCGGGUGGGGAAUAACGCAGGGAAACUUGCGCUAAUACCGCAUAAUGCAGCGGCACCACAUGGUGACAGUUGUUAAAGCGGGGGAUUUUAGGACCUCGCGCCUGAAGAGGAGCCUGCGGCAGAUUAGCUAGUUGGUAGGGUAACGGCUUACCAAGGCGACGAUCUGUAGCCGGCCUGAGAGGGCGGUCGGCCACACUGACACUGACAUACGGGUCAGACUCCUACGGGAGGCAGCAGUCGGGAAUUUUGGGCAAUGGGCGAAAGCCUGACCCAGCAACGCCGCGUGAAGGAUGAAAUCCUUCGGGAUGUAAACUUCGCAAGAAUGGGAAGAAUUAGCGAGCGCUAACACCGUUCGUGAUGACGGUACCAUUUGUAAGCUCCGGCUAACUCCGUGCCAGCAGCCGCGGUAAUACGGGGGGAGCAAGCGUUGUUCGGAUUUACUGGGCGUAAAGGGCGCGUAGGCGGCCAGCGCAAGUCAGUUGUGAAAUCUCCGGGCUUAACUCGGAAAGGUCAACUGAUACUGCGCGGCUAGAGUGCGGAAGGGGCAACUGGAAUUCUCGGUGUAGCGGUGAAAUGCGUAGAUAUCGAGAGGAACACCUGCGGCGAAGGCGGGUUGCUGGGCCGACACUGACGCUGAUGCGCGAAAGCCAGGGGAGCGAACGGGAUUAGAUACCCCGGUAGUCCUGGCCUUAAACGAUGGAUGCUUGGUGUCUGGAGUUUUAUA